AGGGCGUACGGUGAAUGCCUUGGUGCCAACAGGCGAAGAAGGACGCGGCAAGCUGCGAAAAGCCUCGGGAAGCUGCAAGCAAGCGAUGAUCCGGGGAUAUCCGAAUGGGGUAACCUGAUCGAGGCAAUACUCGAUCGUUCAUACCUGAAUACAUAGGGUAUGAAACGCGAAACCCGCUGAAGUGAAACAUCUCAGUAAGCGGAGGAAAAGAAAGAGAAAUCGAUUCCGUAAGUAGUGGCGAGCGAAAGCGGAUGGAGCCCAAACCGAAGGUAUUCCUUCGGGGUUGUAGGACCACGUCAUAUUCGACCAUACUGGAUAGUAGAACAGCCUGGAAAGGCUGGCCGGAGAAGGUGAAAGCCCUGUAGACGAAAUCCAGAGUGGGAAUUAGUGGUAUCCUGAGUAAUACAUCACACGUGGAACGAUGUAUGAACCCGCGCGGACCACCGCGCAAGGCUAAAUACUAGUUGGCGACCGAUAGUGAACAAGUACCGCGAGGGAAAGGUGAAAAGAACCGCUGUGAGCGGAGUGAAAUAGAACCUGAAACCGUAUGUCUACAAAGUGUCAGAGCAGAGCAAUCUGCGAUGGCGUGCCUUUUGUUUAAUGAGUCUGCGAGUCAGUGUUUGUGGCAAGACUAAGGGCUUCCGGCCCGGAGUCGCAGCGAAAGCAAGUCCGAACAGGGCGCAAUAAGUCGCAGGUACUGGACCCGAAGCGGAGGUGACCUACCCUUGGCCAGGUUGAAGCAUGGGUAAAACCAUGUGGAGGACCGAACAGGUGAACGUUGAAAAGUUCUCUGAUGAGCUGAGGGUAGGAGUGAAAGGCUAAUCAAACCCCGUGAUAGCUGGUUCUCUUCGAAAUGCAUUUAGGUGCAGCGUCACGUGCUGAUGCGCGGGGGUAGAGCACUGACAAGGCUAGGGGGCACACCCGCUUACCAAACCUUAUCAAACUCCGAAUACCGUGCAAUGGAACGUGGCAGUGAGACAGUGGGGGAUAAGCUUCAUUGUCGAGAGGGAAACAACCCAGACCAGCAGCUAAGGUGCCUAAAUAACGCUCAGUGGAAAGGAUGUGGGAUUACACAGACAGUGAGGAUGUUGGCUUAGAAGCAGCCACCAUUUAAAAAAUGCGUAAUAGCUUACUCAUCGAGUGAUCCUGCGCCGAAAAUGAUUGGCGAUCAAGCGUUAUACCGAAGCUCUGGACUUUGCCGCAAGGCAGAGUGGUAGAAGAGCGUUGCAUGCGCGUCGAAGGGCGAUGGCGACUGACCCUGGAGCACAUGCAAGUGAGUAUGCAGACAUGAGUAACGUUAAGCCGGGUGAAAUCCCCGGCCGCCGUAAACCCGAGGUUUCCAGGGCAACGUGUUUCGUCCCUGGGUUAGCCGGGACCUAAGCCGAGGCCGAGAGGCGUAGGCGAUGGACAUCAGGUUAAUAAUCCUGAGCUCGCAACCCUUAAACUGGGGGGACGCAUGAGAAAAGAUGACUAGGUUAUUGAAUUCCGAGUUGAGUCUACGGACUCAGCGCAUCAUUGGAUCGAGUGCCAAGAAAAGCCCCAGCGUAUGCUAAGCGACCCGUACCGCAAACCGACACAGGUGGGUGGGUAGAAUAUACCAAGGCGUAAGAGUGAAACCUGGUUAAGGAACUCGGCAAAUUAGCCCCGUAACUUCGGAAGAAGGGGUGCCUGCAGCGAUGCAGGCCGCAGAGAAAUGGCCCAACCGACUGUUUAUCAAAAACACAGCACUCUGCAAAGACGCAAGUCGAAGUAUAGGGUGUGACACGUGACCAAUGCCGAAAGAUUAAGGCAAGGGGUUAGCCGCAAGGCGAAGCUCUAAACCCAAGUCCCGGUGAAUGUCGGCCGUAACUAUAACGGUCCUAAGGUAGCGAAAUUCCUUGUCGGGUAAGUUCCGACCUGCACGAAUCGUGAAACGAGUUGGGCACUGUCUCAACCAGGCGCUCAGUGAAAUUGUAGUGGCGGUGAAGAUGCCGCCUACCCGCAGAAGGACGGAAAGACCCUAUAGACCUUAACUGUAAGCUGUCAUUGUUUCUUCGGUUUUAAUGCUCAGAGUAAGUGGGAGACGCUGAAGACGCCCUUUAGGGGGCGUCCGAGUCAUCAAUGAGACACCACCCUUUGAAACUGGAGGAUCUAACCCUGAGCCGUGAAUCCGGCCAGAGGACCGUGUCAGCCGGUCAGUUUUACUGGGGCGGUAUCCUCCCAAAGAGUAACGGAGGAGCGCGAAGGUGGGCUCAGCCCGGUUGGCAACCGGGUGUCGAGUGCAUGGGCAUAAGCCCGCCUAACUGUGAGACCAACAAGUCGAGCAGAUGCGAAAGCAGGCCCAAGUGAUCCGGCGGUAGAAAGUGGAAUUGCCGUCGCUCAACGGAUAAAAGGUACCUUAGGGAUAACAGGCUGAUCACGCCCAAGAGUUCAUAUCGACGGCGUGGUUUGGCACCUCGAUGUCGGCUCGUCGCAUCCUGG
Molecule: ribosomal RNA, 2460 nt
Filed under: human gut metagenome
Description: bacterial LSU rRNA
Rfam family: Bacterial large subunit ribosomal RNA
Source: RNAcentral